UACGGGGGGGGCAAGCGUUGUUCGGAAUUACUGGGCGUAAAGGGCUCGUAGGUGGCCAACUAAGUCAGACGUGAAAUCCCUCGGCUUAACCGGGGAACUGCGUCUGAUACUGGAUGGCUUGAGUUCGGGAGAGGGAUGCGGAAUUCCAGGUGUAGCGGUGAAAUGCGCAGAUAUCAGGAGGAACACCAAUUGCGAAGGCAGCUCGCUGGGACGUUACUGACGCUGAGACGCGAAAGCGUGGGGAGCAAACAGG
RNAcentral lists this ribosomal RNA (253 nucleotides) under uncultured bacterium. RNAcentral describes it as "partial 16S ribosomal RNA". It matches the Rfam family "Bacterial small subunit ribosomal RNA", at positions 524 to 776 of the family's 1533-position model. The record is from RNAcentral.